UUCUUUCUCAUGGAUUUGACAGGCAGUCAACUUUUGUCUGGAAAAAAGUUAUCAUUUCAGAGGACAGUAAGUUUUAGUAGAAUAGCCACAUCAACAUUGCGUUGUUACGCCCCUUUCACCUUUUCUCACUCCGGAUCAGUCCGGCUUAAGCUCUCGGCGCGAACGCACCGGUCCCAACGUCUUGCGGUUUCCCGCCAAAAAAGAUGCCGCGGCCUAAGCAACAGACUAGAGAAGAAAGGUUGGAAAAAAGGAGGUUGUAUGAAAGAAGAAGAAAAGAGAGAAUUAAGAGCAAUGAAGUCUCACGCGAAGAGUUUUUGAGAAAAGACAGAGAAAGGUAUGCCAGAAAAAAAGCAGCGGAAUUAAUUGUUUCAAGGCCCCUAAAAAAUUAAGAAUUCUAAGAAGAAAAAACAAAAUAAGUGCUGCUGCUUAUUACCAAAGAAAAAAAAAUAGAGCAGCUCCAGCUCCUAUAGCGGCUCGUGCUAACCCUCUGGAUGAGACAAUUGGGGAUCAAAGUGAUGGUCCUGGACUAAGCACUUCCUGUCACAGUUCCUUCUUGCCUGCUUUACGGCGCAGCUUACGAUUGAACAGCAAUAGUAUUAGUACGAAUAUCCAAAUCCAACGUUCUAAUACUACAGAAGCUAGAAACUUUCAUCGGGUAUACACAAGCAGUCCACGACAAACCCUGCUAUCAACGCAUCAAAAUUUUGUAAAUUUUGACUAUAGCAAUCCUGGUCCAAGCACUUCUCAAGGGAAUCCAUCUUCGGCUCGGCGCUGCUUGCCGAUGAAUAGCGAUAGUACAAUUGGUUCCAAUAUUCAACAUCAUAUUGAUGACAAUGUAGUAACUGGCACUCAUUGUGUACAACCAAGUGGCGUACAACGGUUAUUGUAACCUCAAAGAAUGAUAUAUGUAAUAAUACUAACUGUAAUAUCUGUAUAUUAAUGAUGAUAUUAAAAAAACUGUGUACUGUCCUG
Spodoptera litura is the source of this 972-nucleotide long non-coding RNA. RefSeq lists it as uncharacterized. NCBI's taxonomy places the organism in Eukaryota, Metazoa, Arthropoda, Insecta, Lepidoptera, Noctuidae. The record is from RefSeq and is a predicted model, not a curated record.